AGGCGCGUAGCUCAGUGGUAGAGCAUCACCUUGACAUGGUGGUGGUCGGUGGUUCGAACCCACUCGUGCCUACCA
RNAcentral lists this transfer RNA (75 nucleotides) under Beggiatoa leptomitoformis. RNAcentral's name for it is "tRNA-Val". It matches the Rfam family "tRNA". Rfam says of the family: Transfer RNA (tRNA) molecules are approximately 80 nucleotides in length. Their secondary structure includes four short double-helical elements and three loops (D, anti-codon, and T loops). Lineage: Bacteria; Pseudomonadati; Pseudomonadota; Gammaproteobacteria; Thiotrichales; Thiotrichaceae. The record is from RNAcentral.